This is a long non-coding RNA of Populus nigra (black poplar), 1896 nucleotides long. RefSeq lists it as uncharacterized. NCBI's taxonomy places the organism in Eukaryota, Viridiplantae, Streptophyta, Magnoliopsida, Malpighiales, Salicaceae. The record is from RefSeq and is a predicted model, not a curated record. The transcript is spliced from 2 exons.
ACUUUCAGAAUAUAUCAAGAGAUGGUUUCAUGAAACAAAGAAUACUGCAGAGGAUAGAACCGUGGAUUCAAAGGGCUACAGACCAUCCUUGAGGACCCAGAUCCAUCCGUUAUUGUUCAUCUUGCCUCCUCUCUUUUUGUUGCAAGCCUUGGGCUCAAGUCCGAUGCUCAGUCAGGACAGCUUGGUGUUGAAGACAACUUUCUUGAACGGUUGCAACCUUUUUUGCGUGGUUGGGCGAACACGAUUUGGCAUGAGCUAAGAUGUUUUGCAGGAAGCGUCUUACCAUGGAAACAUAUGACUCAGUGGUUGAGUACAACCAAAACAGCCACAACUAACGCCACAGACACAGCUAUAACUUUCCCAAACAAACCCCAAGUGUGCAAUGUAAUUUGGCUCAUUUCUGUCUUUAGCCUUGUUGCAUUUGGAGUAGCACUGAAGCUAUGAAGCUAUGCUAGGAGCCUCACUGGCUGAGGCAUCAAGACUUCUUAUGAUUGAAAGUCGUUUGUGGUUCGUGUGAACUUCUCCGUGAUAAUUUCGCAAGCAUUUGCUCAAUUGCAUGAAUAAUCAUCAUAUAGGUAGCUCUGUUGUUGCUGGAGAAUGAGCCAAAUUUUGUGGAUAAAGAUGCUCAACUGGGGGUGGAAUUUGAGUUGGAACAUGGAGAUACAAUGCCGAGGAUCUUGCCAGUGGUAAAGCAGGAAGCAAAGUUCUCUUGGAAAGGAUGCAGAAAUGAUGUGCUGGUCCUACCAAGCAUGAUCAGCAGAUGCAUUGAGCGCAGCUUCUCAAUGAUUUCCGGUGGAAUGGGCUGCUCUUCUUUGUUUUGGGGAAGGUGGGGAAGGAAGGGGUCGGGCUUUCAGUGUACAUCUUUCCUUUUCUUUCUUUCUUUCUUUCUUGGUUUAAACUCUCGAUCUAAACAUCUCAUGGUUGGUUUAAGCUGGCUGCCCUUGUAAGAAAGGAUCAUUUCAUAAAGACAGACUGAUUAUAAGGUAAAAAAGUAAUUGUUUGAAUCCUGAAAGAGAUCCCAGGUAGUGGCCAGAUCCUGUACGCAAAGAAGUGCAUGGAUGUGGAUCCCAUUUGCCUCUGGAAACGGGAGAACCUGAGACAUGCGAGUCAGCGUAUUCUGAAAGAACCCCCCAUGCAAUGUAAGGUUUUAUUUUGUGCAAUUUGACAGUUGAACUAUGAAUAGGCAUCAACUCUCUGUAUUCUGACUCAAGAAAUUGGAGAGCACUAGCUUUCUUUUCUGAUAGUUCUUUAUUUCUGACAGGGGCAUCUCUACUUUUGUCAACCUAGUAUUUCUACUUAGUAGGGGCCAAAAGGAAAAAGAAACUUCCUCUCGGAACAGUCUGUUAUACUGCCAGCUCGUCACUAUCAGAAUGCAUCAAUUGUUACAGCUUUUUACAUGACAUUAGCUCAUAAAAGCACACAUCAAACAAUACAUUCUCUCUGAAUCCCAAGGAAAGAAACGGAUUUGUGUUAGUGCAUGAAUGGCUUCUAGAUAGCAGAUCACUGUCACUCUUCUUCUGGUUCUUCCUCUUCCUGGAGAAGAUUUUCUCUAUUAUCAUGUGCCCAAAAACCACGCACAUCUAUAAGCAUGCUGGCUACAGUCCCUCCUUGUUUGCAAGCUAGCAGAUCAGCGAGUGUAAUCCUCAAUGGGUCAGCUGGCUUGACCAUAUCCCAUAUUUCAUCCCUCACAUCCUCAAUGCACAAUUCAUAGUUACCGCCCUCGAUCCAUUUCUGGUGUACAUCUCUGUUUGACAAGUAAAAAACUUGUUUAAGUGGGACGAUGUUUAUACCAACAGCUGAAACUGUAAAAAUCAAAAGGACCAGUGGAUGUUAACUGUGAUCUUUAUGUGCCUUUCAAUCUAAUAUCUAGGUUCAUGUCUCUGAACAUUUGAGGCU